UGCGUAGGCGGUAGAUUAAGUUGGAUGUGAAAUACCCGGGCUUAACUUGGGACGUGCAUCCAAAACUGGUCAACUAGAGUGCAGGAGAGGGAAGCGGAAUUCCUAGUGUAGCGGUGAAAUGCGUAGAUAUUAGGAGGAACACCAGUGGCGAAGGCGGCUUUCUGGACUGUAACUGACGCUGAGGCACGAAAGCGUGGGGAGCAAACA
RNAcentral lists this ribosomal RNA (207 nucleotides) under uncultured bacterium. Its description in RNAcentral is "partial 16S ribosomal RNA". It matches the Rfam family "Bacterial small subunit ribosomal RNA", at positions 568 to 774 of the family's 1533-position model. The record is from RNAcentral.